GAUGAACGCUGGCGGCGUGCCUAAUACAUGCAAGGCGAGCGAACAGACGAGGAGCUUGCUCCUCUGACGUUAGCGGCGGACGGGUGAGUAACACGUGGAUAACCUACCUAUAAGACUGGGAUAACUUCGGGAAACCGGAGCUAAUACCGGAUAAUAUAUUUAACCGCAUGGUUCAAUAGUUAAAGACGGGUUUGCUGUCACUUAUAGAUGGAUCCGCGCCGCAUUAGCUAGUUGGUAAGGUAACGGCUUACCAAGGAAACGAUGCGUAGCGGACCUGAGAGGGUGAUCGGCCAGGCUCGAACUUAGCCACGAUCCAGCCUCCUACGGGGGGCCGCAGCAGGUAGUCUUCCGCAAUGGCCGAAAGCCUGACGGAGCUACGCCGCGUGAGUGCUGAAGGUCUUCCGAUCGUAAACCUCUGUUAUUAGGGAAGAACAAAUAUGUAAGUAACUAUGCACGUCUUGACGGUACCUAAUCAGACAGCCCCGGCUAACUCCGUG
This 497-nucleotide ribosomal RNA is filed under the name uncultured bacterium. Its description in RNAcentral is "partial 16S ribosomal RNA". It matches the Rfam family "Bacterial small subunit ribosomal RNA", at positions 28 to 507 of the family's 1533-position model. The record is from RNAcentral.